CUGCCCCCUGUGAGCUUCCCUUUGUCAUCCUAUGCCUGAGCCAUGGCCGAGGCUGGGACGGUGAAGGGAGGCCCACGGGCUGCCACA
Molecule: microRNA precursor, 87 nt
Organism: Patagioenas fasciata monilis
Lineage: Eukaryota; Metazoa; Chordata; Aves; Columbiformes; Columbidae
Rfam family: mir-204 microRNA precursor family
Source: Rfam